UCCGGCUGGUACGUUCUACCUCUGAAGGAUAAAUAAGUCUUAAAGAAAUCCAAGAAAUUCCAAGCCAACUCACAGAAAAGAAACACCUUCCUUAAUAACUCAACAAAACAUUUCUCAGACUCAGUGAGUUGUGUUGUGCUUGCCGAAACGGCGAAAGUUACGUCUUGACGCGGGUGUCUUUGACUUUUUUUGGUGAAUCUCAAACGCGCGAGAGCGCUUUGGCUUUAUCUUCGCAACGUCGUAACAAUAACAUGCUGAAGUUGAAGUUGGCAUUUGGCGUUUUGUGAGAUGACGAUAGCCUGUAAAAGUGAGUGUUUGUAAGGAAUUCCAUUUCCACGCAGUCGUCGUUAUCGUCCUGUUCGUCAAAUCCAAAAUUGUUCCUUUGCAAAACACUUCAAAUCCCUUUGAAACGUUAAUUUCGCUGUUGCCUCUGCCGCGCUGUGUGUGUUUUUUUGCAAAGGGAAAAUCUUUUCUAGCCGUGCGUUUUUUUGCUUUGUUUGUUUGGUAUGGGACACUUUUGGCCGUGCUUAAGGACAACGAAAAGAAAACGCAACACAUCAAAUUUAAGUAUCAUUCCUUAACGUGUGCUCCAAUGUAAAGGUUGUCUCUGGCCCCAACAAGAAAAAACACCGAAAACCAAAGAAAGUAAAAUUCAACGGAAAAUGAAUUUUUUAAAACUUUGGAGUGUUGUGUGUGUGUGAGUGUGUUAAAAUUAAAGGCCAAAGUAAUGAUUUAAGGCACAGCCAUGACGAACAACCGCCUACCAGGCCUGCCUGCCUGCUAGUCUUAUACAAAGGAUGUGCAAACUUAAGUGUCUAUGUGUGAUUUAUUUGGUGCUUGACAAAACUUUUACGGUUCAGGCACUUCUUCACAAAAAGCCCUUUGGUAUUAAAGUGCUAAAGAAAGUUUACAAAAAUAAAUGUCUUCUUGAGAAAGUUUAGGCAAAUAAGUAGAAAAAGAGAGAUUUUUAAAAUAAUGGAAUAUGACUUUGAGGAAAAAAUUAGAAAAAAAAAUUACAACUCCCGAAAUGAAUGCGGAGCCUUAAACAAAGGAAGGUCGGUUUCAAUCAACAAACCAUGGUUUCGAGUGAUUUCGACGACUAACUUGAAGCCUUACAUCUAAAGGUGAUUUUGAACUACAUUGAAGAGAACGUCUGAAGUGUAACAGUGGGUCACACGUUGGUCUAGUGAAAUAGACACAGACUUUCAAUUAUUGUCUUGCUUAAUUCAGUCUUAUCUAGCUUUACCGUUCCAGGAAUUUUAAUUGUAAUGUCACAUCAACCUUGACAUAUCUGAAGACCAACUAAUCGCUGCCUAUUUGUUUGGUGUACCGCCUUCUAGCAAAUGUUACAGCCACAUUUACCUGUCAUUUCUAUGUGGACUAAUUUGUUUGUUUUUGAUGUUAAUUUAGCCGUUAAUACUCGUAAGUUAACAAAUUUAUAGUCUAACCUGUGGUUGUUCGAUGUCGCUAGCGCUAGUCCGCUGUUGUUCACAGUCUCCUAGAUAUCAAAUUGUACGAUUUGCUGUCCGACACAGCAUACAGACAACAGCGGUGCCUCUUAAACUCAUGGCAGGUAGGCAGGCAGGCAUUUCAUUUGCAAAGUGUUAAACGUCUGUGUGCAGCAACUAUCU
Long non-coding RNA from Stomoxys calcitrans (stable fly), 1631 nucleotides. RefSeq lists it as uncharacterized. The record is from RefSeq and is a predicted model, not a curated record. The transcript has 3 exons. Lineage: Eukaryota; Metazoa; Arthropoda; Insecta; Diptera; Muscidae.